UUAAUCCACUCCUUCAAAUCCUUGAGCAUUUUCAACUGCCAUAAGUAGCUUCUCUCGCAAAUCUUCAAAAGAUUCAUAAAGAGGUAGCGUCUGAAGCCAACCCUGCCUGUACCAAAUUUUGACAGGAACCACGAAAUGGAUACUGCUCCCAUCCUGCCUUUGCUACUACUCUGCGGUAUGAUCAAGGAGUCAUUGGACUUCUCUGUGACAACGUACCCUUACCUGUAAUGUUUGCUUGUCAUUUCCUGGGAAAUUGUGGGGGGAUUAUAAAGUUUUCCUAACGUGAAAGGCACUGGGAAGCCAUUAGGUGUUUGUGGUGGAAUGGACUGCAACCUGAACAAGGGUGCUCAGCCAGCGAGACGGACAUGAUGACAAUCUGUAAGCUCUUGGGACUAUCCCCAGCAGGCACUGAGGAUCCUACUCCCAAACUCAGCACAACAUUUAAGCAUUCAGUACACUUUCUGUGCUGUGCUUCACGUGCUCCGAUUUGGAUCGUGUUGCAAGUACCUUACAUGACCAGAUUCUUAUGUAUUUGAUAUGGGGAAAAGUCUUCUAGCAGAAGGGAUUCAAAUUACUUCCAUUUUGUCUGAAUGUCAGUUUAAUUGGCCAGUGCUUAAAGCAAUUUGCAGGCUACUAUGUGGCUUCAAAAAUUAUAGUUAACAUUUGGUAUAUAUGGGUAGCAAUUUCUUCAAAUGUAGUAUAAAAUAAAGUGGGGAAAGCUAUCUCUUCUCUUUAACAUGCAAGCAGUUACUAGAAGAAAAGUCCUGAGUUGAAAGGGUUGCUUGGAAUACAAUAAAAUAGCAUUAAAAAGUCUUUAUCAGAAAGGCCAUGAUGGAAAGAGUUUAUUUUGGAUUCAUUUACCUGCAUUUAUUGCAGAACACUUACACCUACUUAUUCUAUUAACACAGCCUUUCACACGUCCGUGAGAAGGCAAAACAAGCGUUGUUUAGAAACAGUAAGAGGCAAUGGCACCGUGCUGAAGUUGAGCCCUGCUACCUCCUGGAAUUUUGCAUGUUACAUUCUGCAGCUGGGUGUCAGCAGAUAAAUGCUAACUGUUCUUUGCCUGUUAAAUACAUACCUACACAUACACAGAAACACGUGUGUAGGUUUCAGAGUAUCCCAGUUUAUAAAAAGCUGUAUGAUCCAGAGCUAAAAUAUGUUAGAGAUAAGCAGAGUCAUCAGUUUCCCCCUUUCUUGGCAGUGUAACAAUACAGAAAAGCUAUACAAUUUUAUGC
Aptenodytes forsteri (emperor penguin) is the source of this 1235-nucleotide long non-coding RNA. RefSeq lists it as uncharacterized. The transcript has 3 exons. The record is from RefSeq and is a predicted model, not a curated record. Lineage: Eukaryota; Metazoa; Chordata; Aves; Sphenisciformes; Spheniscidae.